This 614-nucleotide ribosomal RNA is filed under the name uncultured bacterium. RNAcentral describes it as "bacterial SSU rRNA". It matches the Rfam family "Bacterial small subunit ribosomal RNA", at positions 94 to 740 of the family's 1533-position model. The record is from RNAcentral.
AGUGGCGGACGGGUGAGUAACGCGUAGGUAUCUAUCCAAGGGUGGGGGAUAACGGCGGGAAACUACUGCUAAUACCGCAUGACGACUGAGGUCCAAAGGCCGCAAGGUCGCCUAUGGAGGAGCCUGCGUUCGAUUAGCUUGUUGGUGGGGUAACGGCCUACCAAGGCGACGAUCGAUAGCUGGUCUGAGAGGAUGAUCAGCCACACUGGGACUGAGACACGGCCCAGACUCCUACGGGAGGCAGCAGUGGGGAAUAUUGGACAAUGGGGCAACCCUGAUCCAGCAAUGCCGCGUGGAUGAAGAAGGUCUUCGGAUUGUAAAGUCCUUUCGACGGGGACGAUGAUGACGGUACCCGUAGAAGAAGCCCCGGCUAACUUCGUGCCAGCAGCCGCGGUAAUACGAAGGGGGCUAGCGUUGCUCGGAAUGACUGGGCGUAAAGGGCGCGUAGGCGGUUUGAUUAGUUAGGCGUGAAAUUCCCGGGCUCAACCUGGGAACUGCGUUUAAUACAGUCAGACUUGAGUUCGGAAGAGGGUCGUGGAAUUCCCAGUGUAGAGGUGAAAUUCGUAGAUAUUGGGAAGAACACCGGUGGCGAAGGCGGCGACCUGGUCCGAUAC